UGGGGAAUAUUGCACAAUGGGCGAAAGCCUGAUGCAGCGACGCCGCGUGAGGGAUGACGGCCUUCGGGUUGUAAACCUCUUUCAGCAGGGAAGAAGCGAAAGUGACGGUACCUGCAGAAGAAGCGCCGGCUAACUACGUGCCAGCAGCCGCGGUAAUACGUAGGGCGCAAGCGUUGUCCGGAAUUAUUGGGCGUAAAGAGCUCGUAGGCGGUUAGUCGCGUCUGCUGUGAAAACUCGAGGCUCAACCUCGGGCUUGCAGUGGGUACGGGCUGACUAGAGUGCAGUAGGGGGUGACUGGAAUUCCUGGUGUAGCGGUGGAAUGCGCAGAUAUCAGGAGGAACACCGAUGGCGAAGGCAGGUCACUGGGCCGCAACUGACGCUGAGGAGCGAAAGCAUGGGGAGCGAACAGGAUUAGAUAGCCCUGGUAGUCCAUGCCGUAAACGUUGGGCACUAGGUGUGGGUCCAUUCCACGGAUUCCGUGCCGCAGCAAAGCGCAUUAAGUGCCCCGCCUGGGGAGUACGGCCGCAAGGCUAAACUCAAAGG
RNAcentral lists this ribosomal RNA (543 nucleotides) under uncultured bacterium. RNAcentral describes it as "partial 16S ribosomal RNA". It matches the Rfam family "Bacterial small subunit ribosomal RNA", at positions 355 to 907 of the family's 1533-position model. The record is from RNAcentral.